RNAcentral lists this ribosomal RNA (303 nucleotides) under uncultured Fusobacterium sp. RNAcentral's name for it is "bacterial SSU rRNA". It matches the Rfam family "Bacterial small subunit ribosomal RNA", at positions 1212 to 1513 of the family's 1533-position model. Lineage: Bacteria; Fusobacteriati; Fusobacteriota; Fusobacteriia; Fusobacteriales; Fusobacteriaceae. The record is from RNAcentral.
GGCUACACACGUGCUACAAUGGGUAGAACAGAGAGUUGCAAAGCCGUGAGGUGAAGCUAAUCUCAGAAAACUAUUCUUAGUUCGGAUUGUACUCUGCAACUCGAGUACAUGAAGUUGGAAUCGCUAGUAAUCGCGAAUCAGCAAUGUCGCGGUGAAUACGUUCUCGGGCCUUGUACACACCGCCCGUCACACCACGAGAGUUGGUUGCACCUGAAGUAGCAGGCCUAACCGUAAGGAGGGAUGCUCCGAGGGUGUGAUUAGCGAUUGGGGUGAAGUCGUAACAAGGUAUCCGUACGGGAACGU